This 434-nucleotide ribosomal RNA is filed under the name uncultured Lachnospiraceae bacterium. RNAcentral's name for it is "partial 16S ribosomal RNA". It matches the Rfam family "Bacterial small subunit ribosomal RNA", at positions 341 to 792 of the family's 1533-position model. The record is from RNAcentral. Lineage: Bacteria; Bacillati; Bacillota; Clostridia; Lachnospirales; Lachnospiraceae.
ACGGGAGGCAGCAGUGGGGAAUAUUGGACAAUGGGGGAAACCCUGAUCCAGCGACGCCGCGUGAGUGAAGAAGUAUUUCGGUAUGUAAAGCUCUAUCAGCAAGGAAGAAAAUGACGGUACUUGACUAAGAAGCUCCGGCUAAAUACGUGCCAGCAGCCGCGGUAAUACGUAUGGAGCAAGCGUUAUCCGGAUUUACUGGGUGUAAAGGGCGCGUAGGCGGGGAUGCAAGUCAGAUGUGAAAUCUAUGGGCUUAACCCAUAAACUGCAUUUGAAACUGUAUCUCUUGAGUGUCGGAGAGGUAGAUGGAAUUCCUAGUGUAGCGGUGAAAUGCGUAGAUAUUAGGAGGAACACCAGUGGCGAAGGCGAUCUACUGGACGAUAACUGACGCUGAGGCGCGAAAGCGUGGGGAGCAAACAGGAUUAGAUACCCUGGUA